Molecule: long non-coding RNA, 1757 nt
Organism: Corvus moneduloides (New Caledonian crow)
Lineage: Eukaryota; Metazoa; Chordata; Aves; Passeriformes; Corvidae
Source: Ensembl
GUUCACUUACCACCACAGCCCUGAAGGCAUCUGCCCCUCCACUGUGGACACCUCUGUGCCAUAAUAGGUCCCAGCAGCCCGUCAUGUCUGUGGGUAGCGAAACAACUCCAGCACACCCGUCCCUUUCCGUGGCCCCCGGCGCGGCAGCGUAGUGUGGGGGCAGAUGGAUGGGCUGUGGUAGGAUGAGCCCUGCCCUGCACCUGCUGCUGUUCCUGGCCAGCUGCUCCCUGCUCCAGGGGAUGCUACUGCGUCCACGGGAUGUGAAGCUGGAGGCACGGAACUUCCACGUCUGGCUGCACUGGAAGCCAGACCCCAGCUCACCCAGCUAUGCCACUUACGAGGUGGAGUGGAGGAACAGAACCUCGAACUGGACAAAGGCAGAUGCCUGCGGGGGGAACAGCAGAAGCUCCUGGGUGUGUGAGCUGUAUUUUGACAGGAUUCACGAUAUCUACUGGGCACGGGUGAGAGCGGUGGCCAGAGCAAUUGUUGGCCCCCCCAAGUUGUCCUGGCUGCUACAGGAUCAAAUCCUCAGCGUAAACAUCACCACACCACUCACUCCCUACCGGAGAAGAGCUGGUUCCUACAAGCCAGUCGACCGAGUGCUGCUGAAGCUGUGGUACUGGCUACACCUGUACGAGGGGAACCUGCUUGUCCAGCAGGUACCCUGCAAACGGAGCAGUGAGGAAGUGCCUUGCACCUUUGGGCAUCUGAAGCCCAGCACACAGUACUGUGUCCGGACGGUGGCUGCAGACAUGGCAAGGGAGCGGAGCCAGGAGGCUGAGCAGUGCCUGAUGACUCCAGCAGGCCCUGCAGGCUUUCCCUGGGUCCUUGCCAUGCCGAGUGCCUUCUUCCUGCUGCUGCUACUGAGUGUGGCUGGGCUCUACUUCAUCCAGCUGCAUGUCUUGCCCAGCCCUCCGGAGACGCGCCUCCCAAAAGCACUGGCUCUCCAGAACAGCGAGCUGAGUGUGGCCAUACAGGUGCCUCCCCUCGAGCUUGAGGAGAACCCACUGGCCCUGUUCCUGCAGACUGAGCUCCCCUCCCACAGGCCAUCCACAGCUGGGCAGGCAUCAACCACAGUCCCACAGCUCCUCUGCGGCCUUGCCCAGGAUGUGAGUGGCUACUGUGGCAAUGGGUUUGGCCCAGACUGCCCUGAGGGAAGGGACCCAUCCUGCACCCACAGCCAGCUGGGGCACGCCUGGGAUUCCCAGGUCCCAUCACGGCUGGAGAAGGAUGGGGAGACAGGUGAUAGGGAUCAUGUGCCAGAACAGCUGGUGCCAGUGGGACUGACUGGAAACAGCUACAUAGGUGACAGGGACAGCCAGACACCUCAGAUAUGGCUCCCCCUGCACCUCCAGCUUUACUUUAAAGGCCAGUGCCCAGCCCUGGGCGCAGGCAGCCACCUUCCUCUGCCCGUGCCGAGCAGGAGCUGCAGCCAGGAGUACCUGCAGGAGAGUCUCGGCACGGCUGGACACUGGGUCCGGCUCAGCUCCGUGAAGAUCCCGGCCAGUGCGGAGGAGGAGGGAGGGCAGCUCCUCUCUGCUCCCCAGCCCCUGCUGGGCGGCGAGACUGAGCCGGAGCCAGGUGACAGCGCCGUGCAGCGAGGCUACUCGGAGCAGGCAGAACUGGGUGUCUCCAGCCCCUGCCAGCUGCUCCCCUCGCCCCUCAGCGUCCUGCGGGCGCCUGCCUUCUCUGGCUACGAGCCACGUGCCCCAUCUGGCAGUGAGAAGUGGGGGCACCCUGGAGCUCCCGGGCUAUGA